This 400-nucleotide ribosomal RNA is filed under the name uncultured bacterium. RNAcentral describes it as "bacterial SSU rRNA". It matches the Rfam family "Bacterial small subunit ribosomal RNA", at positions 28 to 431 of the family's 1533-position model. The record is from RNAcentral.
GACGAACGCUGGCGGCGUGCUUAACACAUGCAAGUCGAGCGGUAAGGCCCUUUCGGGGUACGACGAGCGGCGAACGGGUAGAGUAACACGUGGGUGACCUGCCCUCCAGCUCUGGGAGUAAGCCUGGGAAACCGGGUCUAAUACCGGAUAUGACUCCAUGACGCAUGUUGUGGGGUGGAAAGCCUUGUGCGGCUGAGGAUGGGCCCGCGGCCUAUCAGCUUGUUGGUGGGGUGAUGGCCUACCAAGGCGACGACGGGUAGCCGGCCUGAGAGGGCGACCGGCCACACUGGGACUGAGACACGGCCCAGACUCCUACGGGAGGCAGCAGUGGGGAAUCUUGCGCAAUGGGCGAAAGCCUGACGCAGCGACGCCGCGUGAGGGAUGACGGCCUGUGUAACUC